UACAGAGGUCUCAACCGUUGUUCGGAUUCAUUGGGCGUAAAGGGUGCGUAGGCGGUCGCGUAAGUCAGGUGUGAAAUCUCGGGGCUCAACCCCGAAACUGCACUUGAUACUGCGUGGCUCGGGUACUGGAGAGGAGACUGGAAUUUACGGUGUAGCAGUGAAAUGCGUAGAUAUCGUAAGGAAGACCAGUGGCGAAGGCGAGUCUCUGGACAGUUACCGACGCUGAGGCACGAAGGUCAGGGGAGCAAACGGG
Molecule: ribosomal RNA, 253 nt
Filed under: uncultured bacterium
Lineage: Bacteria
Also listed under: 1 other name
Description: partial 16S ribosomal RNA
Rfam family: Bacterial small subunit ribosomal RNA
Source: RNAcentral